AUUGAACGCUGGCGGCAUGCCUUACACAUGCAAGUCUAACGGUAACGGGCCUUCGGGUGCCGACGAGUGGCGAACGGGUGAGUAAUACAUCGGAACGUGCCCGAUCGUGGGGGAUAACGAGGCGAAAGCUUUGCUAAUACCGCAUACGAUCUACGGAUGAAAGCAGGGGACCGCAAGGCCUUGCGCGGACGGAGCGGCCGAUGGCAGAUUAGGUAGUGGGUGGGAUAAAAGCUUACCAAGCCGACGAUCUGUAGCUGGUCUGAGAGGAUAAUCAGCCACACUGGAACUGAGACACGCCCCAGAUUCCUACGGAAGGCAGCGGUGGGGAAUUUGGACAAUGGGCGCAAGCCUGAUCCAGCCAUGCCGCGUGCAAGAUGAAGGCCUUCGGGUUGUAAACUGCUUUUGUACGGAACGAAAAGCCUUCUUUUAAUACAGGAGGGUCAUGACGGUACCGUAAGAAUAAGCACCGGCUAACUACGUG
Molecule: ribosomal RNA, 481 nt
Filed under: uncultured bacterium
Lineage: Bacteria
Description: partial 16S ribosomal RNA
Rfam family: Bacterial small subunit ribosomal RNA
Source: RNAcentral